Molecule: ribosomal RNA, 550 nt
Filed under: uncultured bacterium
Lineage: Bacteria
Description: partial 16S ribosomal RNA
Rfam family: Bacterial small subunit ribosomal RNA
Source: RNAcentral
UGGGGAAUUUUGGACAAUGGGCGAAAGCCUGAUCCAGCCAUGCCGCGUGCAGGAUGAAGGCCUUCGGGUUGUAAACUGCUUUUGUACGGAACGAAAAGACUCUGGUUAAUACCUGGGGUCCAUGACGGUACCGUAAGAAUAAGCACCGGCUAACUACGUGCCAGCAGCCGCGGUAAUACGUAGGGUGCAAGCGUUAAUCGGAAUUACUGGGCGUAAAGCGUGCGCAGGCGGUUAUAUAAGACAGAUGUGAAAUCCCCGGGCUCAACCUGGGAACUGCAUUUGUGACUGUAUAGCUAGAGUACGGCAGAGGGGGAUGGAAUUUCCGCGUGUAGCAGUGAAAUGCGUAGAUAUGCGGAGGAACACCGAUGGCGAAGGCAAUCCCCUGGGCCUGUACUGACGCUCAUGCACGAAAGCGUGGGGAGCAAACAGGAUUAGAUACCCCUGGUAGUCCACGCCCUAAACGAUGUCAACUGGUUGUUGGGUCUUCACUGACUCAGUAACGAAGCUAACGCGUGAAGUUGACCGCCUGGGGAGUACGGCCGCAAGGUUG